GGCACAUUGUUUGUGCUAAGGAACGGAAAAGGUGCCAUUAAGUGACCUGAUUCAGCACAGGGUGGCUCUGUAUCCUGUCUCCACUGCUUACUCCCUGUGUGACCUUGGGCAAGUUGCUUCACCUCUCUGGCCUUAGUGGCUUCCUGCAAAAUAGGACUAAUAAUAGCAUUUACCUCUUAUCGUCCGUCCUUUGAUGGUCAAAUCAGUCAUGACAUGUAAAGUGCUCCCAGGAGUGCUUGGCACAUAGGAAGAGCUCAGUUCUCACGAGCAGCUGGAUAUCAGCCAUGUGCACCCUGGUGAGGAUGCUCAUCAGCCAGAGUCCUGAGAGCACAAAAGAGAUCAUCAGGGGAAGGUGUCUGCCCCAGAUGUCAUAGAAACCCCCGGGAGCCAGAAUUGCCAUUUGAAGCGGCUCUGGAAGGAAGCGUGGUUUCCCUAGGUGGAGAACGGGCGCUUCGGUGUAUGCAAAGGGAAGGAGAAAUGACAGCAGUUACAGUCAACUCUGCUAUGCAAACGUUGGGGGCUACAAACGAGAUCUGCAGGGGCAUGAACCCAGCUGCCCAUGGCUGUCCCUGGGCCUCCCCUUUAGUGAGAAGAUGAGAGACUGCAGACAACAGUAGGUAUUACAUUACAAUACAAGACAUCAUAUUAGCCCAAUUUCAUGAUUGAGGAAAAUGAGCAACAGAGAAGUCAAGUGCCUUGAUGAGGUCACACAGCCAGGAAGUAGCAGAGGUGGGGUUUGGAUACCAGCAGGCUAGCUGCACGGCCCCUGCUUUGAAGCACUUAUGAAAACUGCCUCUGGACUCUUGGGUGUUCAAUGGUCCCUCUGUCACCCAGUUUAGUCCUAAUUUGGCUCCACAGAGUCUUCCUCCCUGGACGGUACAAAGGCCCAUGCCGGCCGAGAGUCACAUCUAGGUCUUUUUGUAAGGGAUCUACGCCAGCAGAUCUUUCUAGGCCCUUGUUAGUUUCCCCUGAGGCUUCCCCCUGCUCCUCACCCUCCCUGCCCAGGCCCCCAGCCCUGCCGCUCCUUUGUGGGGAUCAUGGCACCCGUGGCCAGCUCGGCUCUGGGGAACCGUGAUUCCACUCACCCUGCGGAAAGCCACCCACUGCGUCCUGCCCGCACGCCACGUCCUCCCCAAACAGCUGAGCCUGUGCAAUGUGAGAGGGGAGACGCUUGCCAGAGGUUUCCGGAAAGCAUCCAGAGGUCACUCUGGGCUGGCUCAAGUGGAUCGGGCCCUGACCACUGCUCUGAAUAGGCACUGUCCCACCCUGGGGCCACUCCCUCAGCACCAGAGCAGGCUAAUUGAUGGGUGGGGAGGUGUGGAGGGCUGGAAGCUGGUUUGCAGCUGAAGGAGGCAAGAGGGGAGCCAGGCAUUUGACUCAGCAGCUGACAAAUAUGAGAUGCCAAGAGAAGGUGGAGGGGAGCAUCCAGAUCUUCAGCCCCAAACUGCCUGCCCAGGCCCAGACCCCAUCUACACACCCAACCCAAUCUCUACAGCCGGCCUACCCACCCCCCUCCCUAACCAGCAAGCCCCUUACCUCCCAUGCCACCAUCGACCCUCUCAGCCAAUACCCAACCCACCCAGCGCUCAGAACACACACUCCCCACCCCCACCUGCUCUCACAAUACUCACCCUGCUCAGCUACAGCCUGGGGUGUGUGCUUCCCAUCUGGCUACCCAAGUGAACACCCUACUUAGGGCAUCUCUGGCCCACACCCACUCAGCCUUCACCAGGCCUAUCUCUCUCUGAUGCCCAG
Long non-coding RNA from Equus caballus (horse), 1755 nucleotides. NCBI's taxonomy places the organism in Eukaryota, Metazoa, Chordata, Mammalia, Perissodactyla, Equidae. The record is from Ensembl.